Oncorhynchus nerka (sockeye salmon) is the source of this 943-nucleotide long non-coding RNA. RefSeq lists it as uncharacterized. The record is from RefSeq and is a predicted model, not a curated record. Lineage: Eukaryota; Metazoa; Chordata; Actinopteri; Salmoniformes; Salmonidae. The transcript has 2 exons.
UACAGAGUUGGUUAAAUCCGCUCUUUUGCUCCCCGUUUACAUGGCUAAUAAUCUCCAAGCUGCUCUAAACGGUGUUGUUUGUGUGAAUAUUGUUUUCCAUAAAGUUAAUACCCCCCCCCCCCAAAACGAAAUAUGAAAUGACCUCUUCCCCUAUCGUUAAAGCGUGAGAUACAUUUUUAAAACCAGUGAUUUAAUUCAAAAUAUUUAGUACCUACAUUUUAACACAUGUUAUAAUUCCAAAUUAUGUGUCCGCUGUGCGGGGAAAAUGAUAAUACAAGCGGAACUACGUAGCUAAUACUGUUGUAACUGGGGAUCCUUAUUGUAGCAACACACUUUUGUAGGGAAGGCAAUCCUGCGCUGCGUUAGCUAAGUUUUCAUGUCAUCGGGUGUAGUUCAUAAAGGUUGAAGAGUGUAUGUUAGGAUGAAGUGUGAAUUCAUGCCAGGAAUAAUAAGUGUGAAGUUUGAUUUCCUCCCUUCUGUAAUAAGCAGCCAAUGAGUUCUCACUGAAGGGGAUAAUUCUCACUGAAACUACAGAAUAAAGCCGCCAGUUAAAAUCAUGGAACGGUUGUGCUCGUGGUUACUGAAGGGAGCUACAAGACCAUUAUUCGUUUCGAAUUCACCAACUCAAAGACGCUUGCCCGCUCCAUCAUAACUCCGUAAGUUUUCCCCUCCCUGUGUAGAUCAAACGUCCUGCCUGUAACUCCUGGGUAUGCCCCACAUCAUUAAUGAAUAAGAUGUGUAGAAAACUGUUUAGCCAUAGUUAAAGGCCUUUCAUAAAGAGCCUGUCAUGAUUGCAUGUCCCUUAUGUUUAAUACGUAUUGCUUGUUACAUAAUACUACUGUUGUACAUUUAAUAUCCCCUAGCAGAUUUCGUUGCCUUUGCACAAAUUCUGUCAUGUUACUGUGGUCUUUUUAAAAGUCAAUAAAAAUGUGUGUAAAGUGGC